RNAcentral lists this ribosomal RNA (380 nucleotides) under Oxyrrhis marina. RNAcentral describes it as "partial Bacterial small subunit ribosomal RNA". It matches the Rfam family "Bacterial small subunit ribosomal RNA", at positions 1 to 412 of the family's 1533-position model. The record is from RNAcentral. Lineage: Eukaryota; Dinophyceae; Oxyrrhinales; Oxyrrhinaceae.
UUGAAGAGUUUGAUCCUGGCUCAGAUUGAACGCUGGCGGCAUGGCUAAAACAUGCAAGUCGAACGAUCCCUUCGGGGAGAGUGGCGAAAGGGCGAGGAAUAGAAUCGAAUGUACCCCAAGGUGGGGGAUAGCUUCUGGAAACGGAAGGUAAUACCCCAUGUGCUCUACGGAGGAAAGGUUUACCGCCUUGGGAGCAGCGAUUCUCCUAUCAGGUAGUUGGUGAGGUAACGGCUCACCAAGCCGAAGACGGGUAGCGGGUGUGAGAGCAUGACCCGCCGCAUCGGGACUGAGACACUGCCCGGACUCCUACGGGAGGCUGCAGUAACGAAUCUUCCGCAAUGGGCGAAAGCCUGACGGAGCAAUGCCGCGUGUGGGAUCAA